GAUGAACGCUGGCGGCGUGCUUAACACAUGCCAGUCGAACGGAAAGGCUCCUGCUUGCCGGGGUCCUCGAGUGGCGAACGGGUGAGUAACACGUGGGUGAUCUGCCCUGCACUUCGGGAUAAGCCUGGGAAACUGGGUCUAAUACCGGAUAGGACCACAUUUUGGAUGGUGUGGUGGAAAGUUUUUCGGUGUGGGAUGAGCUCGCGGCCUAUCAGCUUGUUGGUGGGGUAAUGGCCUACCAAGGCGUCGACGGGUAGCCGGCCUGAGAGGGGGUACGGCCACAUUGGGACUGAGAUACGGCCCAGACUCCUACGGGAGGCAGCAGUGGGGAAUAUUGCACAAUGGGCGCAAGCCUGAUGCAGCGACGCCGCGUGGGGGAUGACGGCCUUCGGGUUGUAAACUCCUUUCGCUAGGGACGAAGCGCAAGUGACGGUACCUGGAGAAGAAGCACCGGCUAACUACGUG
RNAcentral lists this ribosomal RNA (465 nucleotides) under uncultured bacterium. RNAcentral's name for it is "partial 16S ribosomal RNA". It matches the Rfam family "Bacterial small subunit ribosomal RNA", at positions 28 to 507 of the family's 1533-position model. The record is from RNAcentral.